Long non-coding RNA from Acanthochromis polyacanthus (spiny chromis), 1387 nucleotides. RefSeq lists it as uncharacterized. The record is from RefSeq and is a predicted model, not a curated record. The transcript has 4 exons. Lineage: Eukaryota; Metazoa; Chordata; Actinopteri; Pomacentridae.
CAGACUGUGUAGAAAAUACUAAAAAUAUAUGUGUUUGGUCCUGGCAAUCCCAAAUGGCAACUUUAUCGAGAACAAAGGAGAUAGCAGGGCAGCUCAAAUAACUCAUGAAGAGAGAGAGGAUGCUGCUCUUGGGGCUCUGUUGCCCUACUGAAGAACAUUAUUACUGGAUUAUUGAUUUACAGCACAAAAUGGAUGGAACAUAAGUAGGGUUAAGCUCAUUAAUCCCUCUCCCGCCUCUUUUAUGAAAAUGGACUUGUUAUCAGUGAUUAUUCUAAUGGAUUGUUAUGAUUGAACACUUUUCGUCGCGUGCGCCGGCUGCCUUACAAAAUCACAGAGCACAGGGACAACAGAGGGUGAUGAUUGGGGAUGUGCAGACAGGAUGAAGGAGGCAGGCAUGAGGCUCACAACAGAGGUAUCUGCUAAAGUGAAGGCACCAAAAUAAAAGCUCAAAACACAGACGGUGGAAUUGCUGACAUUCUGGUGACAUUUGGUGCGUCACUGGCAUUUGGCAAGACAUACGAGCAGGUAGCUCAGCUCUCAUCUCUCCCAGCAUAAGAUGGGACCACUCACACCCCCUAAGAUAUUCAAGCUGCUGCAGUGGGGGAGUGCUCCAAUGGAGCGCGGCGGGUCCGACGAUUGUCCUCAUAAAUUGUGUGUGUGUCGGGGUGCAGAGGGGCUAAGUGAGCAGUAAAUAACAAAGGGUCCCGCCGCCAUCCGUUCACCAUCGCCACAUUUCCGGCCACGCAAGAUUACCCAGGAUGCCCCUGGAGGGGCGUCUUCUUCCUCUGUGUGAUGAAUGGACAAGAGGAGGGAGGAACAUGCCUUUGCCACCCAGCCUCUGACAGAGAAAAGUGUCAGCCUUCCCUCCACCCUCCCACUGCUGACUUGGGCAUCAGUGCAGAGAGCUUUUUAUGGCCCCUUGAUUUUCCGAGGGAGUGGGUGGGAUUUAAUAUAUGGUGGAGGAGGCAGAAGGAGGAGGUGAAACCUGCGCGGCUUUCUGCCUGCCCUUAACGCUUCCCCUGGCUCCGGAGCAGGAGUCUUGGAAAUAAUGCUGGACACUGAUACUAUCUGGCUGUACUAUGUAACUGCUGGGACAUGACAAUACUGCGUGAUGAAAUGCUCACUAGAGAUGUGCAAAUAAUCAGGAGUUGUGUUUCGUGGAAGGCAGAGAGCAUGAUGAAAGGUGCAGUUUGUGUGAGUGGCCACACCUUAGGGAAAGACAAAAAUGUGAACAUCUCAACCAGGUGCAGGACCAAAAUAUGAAAAGGGAAGGAUUGCACUAAGAAUGUCACCCCUGGGUAAAUGUUAAUGUAUUUUUACACCUUGCCGGCGCAGUCUAGACGUUACAUAUUAAGCCUGAAUAAAGUCAUCGCACGGUACAAAGUCA